AGCUUGACUGCGAGCGUGACGGCGCGAGCAGGUGCGAAAGCAGGUCAUAGUGAUCCGGUGGUUCUGAAUGGAAGGGCCAUCGCUCAACGGAUAAAAGGUACUCCGGGGAUAACAGGCUGAUACCGCCCAAGAGUUCAUAUCGACGGCGGUGUUUGGCACCUCGAUGUCGGCUCAUCACAUCCUGGGGCUGAAGUAGGUCCCAAGGGUAUGGCUGUUCGCCAUUUAAAGUGGUACGCGAGCUGGGUUUAGAACGUCGUGAGACAGUUCGGUCCCUAUCUGCCGUGGGCGCUGGAGAAUUGAGGGGGGCUGCUCCUAGUACGAGAGGACCGGAGUGGACGCAUCACUGGUGUUCGGGUUGUCAUGCCAAUGGCACUGCCCGGUAGCUAAAUGCGGAAGAGAUAAGUGCUGAAAGCAUCUAAGCACGAAACUUGCCCCGAGAUGAGUUCUCCCUGAGAC
RNAcentral lists this ribosomal RNA (456 nucleotides) under Klebsiella pneumoniae. Its description in RNAcentral is "bacterial LSU rRNA". It matches the Rfam family "Bacterial large subunit ribosomal RNA", at positions 2366 to 2821 of the family's 2925-position model. The record is from RNAcentral. Lineage: Bacteria; Pseudomonadati; Pseudomonadota; Gammaproteobacteria; Enterobacterales; Enterobacteriaceae.